Molecule: transfer RNA, 68 nt
Filed under: Doru luteipes
Lineage: Eukaryota; Metazoa; Arthropoda; Insecta; Dermaptera; Forficulidae
Description: tRNA-Trp
Source: RNAcentral
AAGGUUUUAGGUUAAGUAAAACCCCAAGCCUUCAAAGCUUGGGAUGCAAUGGUUUGUUGCAAGCCUUA